Molecule: ribosomal RNA, 497 nt
Filed under: uncultured bacterium
Lineage: Bacteria
Description: bacterial SSU rRNA
Rfam family: Bacterial small subunit ribosomal RNA
Source: RNAcentral
AAAUGAAUAGACGGGGACCCGCACAAGCGGUGGAGCAUGUGGUUUAAUUCGAAGCAACGCGAAGAACCUUACCAAGGUUUGACAUCCCCCUGAACAGAUUAGAAAUAGUUUGGGCCUUUCGGGGACAGGGGAGACAGGUGGUGCAUGGUUGUCGUCAGCUCGUGUCGUGAGAUGUUGGGUUAAGUCCCGCAACGAGCGCAACCCUUAUGAUAAGUAGCCAGCGGGUAAAGCCGGGGACUCUGGUCAGACUGCCGUGGAUAACACGGAGGAAGGCGGGGACGACGUCAAAUCAUCAUGCCCCUUAUAUCUUGGGCUACACACGUGCUACAAUGGACCAAACAAAGUGAGGCGAAGCGGCAACGCGGAGCAAAACACAAAAAAGGGUUCUCAGUUCGGAUCGCGGCCUGCAACCCGGCCGCGUGAAGUUGGAAUCGCUAGUAAUCGCGGAUCAGAACGCCGCGGUGAAUACGUUCCCGGGUCUUGUACACACCGCCCGU